UUGCCCAUAUCCUGUAGUGGGGGGGGGGGGGAUUGGGGAGGGGGGAUGAGUUGCCCCUGUUGUUCCUGAGUACCAGUGUACUAAAGGUGUGAGGUGCGUGGAGACGCUCUGAGGAAAGGCCAAGAUCAAAUCUAUUAUUGAUCUGGGCCUUAUUAAAUCAGACAUAGAAACCCCACCAGAAAAACUGCACAAAUGAAUAGAAGAAUUGCACAAAUUUUCACAAGACCUCUAAAGGUAUUUUGUGGUAUCUGGCUCCGAGAUAUUGGCAGAAUUUGUGCAGUGUGGCAGAGAGUAUUAUCUGCUGUAAGAAGCCACUGCUAUUAAGGAAUUCCAUUGCCCAUAAAGGAUACUUAGACAGUAUCAGGGCCUAGGAGGAGCGCUAAUUUGCAAGUUUAUUUCAGGAGUGGAGCUGUGGCCGGUAACCUAGGCAAUGAGCAAACAAUAAUUGGAGGAAAAAAAUGCCAAUGGAAAAAGAUCCAACUCGGGUUUGGUAACAUGAAGUCAGACAGCAGCUCAUCCAAUCAGUAGCUCAAGGCAGGAAAUGGUUGUGGACAUAUGAUGUCACCAAACCCGGAAGCACUGGACACCAGAAAGCAGCGUUUGGUGAUUCCGGUGGGGAGUUGGAGAGAGGAAGAUUGUUCGGGUGAGGCUUACAUGAGCGAUGCAGAAUAUUGGCCAUCAGAAUAGCAAGGCCGAAUUGGUUGCAUGGGAAGAUAAAUGACCGGGGAUGGGAGCUAUGUUAUUAUCGAGGACUGAGGCAGCCAGUAAAUUGGAGACCAGAGAAGAUUAUUGUGAACAAUAGUGAUAAUAAACACUUAACACACAGGCAGCAGAAGAGUAAAUGCAGCCGAUGCAGACUCCAAGCAUCACUCACCAGGCAAAGACAGCGGCCAUUAUUCUUGUGCUACCCGUCACGCGAGGAUUACAUUAACUUCGGUUCACUUUCUAUCACCUCACUACUUACCGCUUCUUGCUGAUUAUGUAGAAAGACAAAGAAUAGAAUGAACAGGAAAGGAAAACAAGGUAACAAUGUCUGGAUACAUUUGCGGCAAUACACAUAUUAACUUAUCUGUCUGCAGCAAAUCAAAUCUCACCUCGGUAAAUUUUGGGUAAUGUGCAAACAUAAUUAAACUAGGUGACAUAUUUGUGGCUCUCUGGGAUUUUUAAUUAUGUUACAAUAUCGAUGUGCCAAAAUUAGGGUUCUGUCAGUGUCCCCACCCUCCCCUGAGCGCCUGGCUUUGCAGUAUCCAGAAAAGCGACAUUCAUCAACAUUUAUACAAUGACUGCCCUGCAGUACUGAGGUGUAGCACAUUUUUUCUGGGUACUACAGUGCACCAUGACAAACACCAGCCAGUGUUGCUGCCCCUUUGAUCUUUUAUAAGAGUGGGUACUGAGAAUCAGACAAUUUAAAG
Long non-coding RNA from Hyla sarda, 1412 nucleotides. RefSeq lists it as uncharacterized. Lineage: Eukaryota; Metazoa; Chordata; Amphibia; Anura; Hylidae. The record is from RefSeq and is a predicted model, not a curated record. The transcript is spliced from 4 exons.